This is a non-coding RNA of Schistocerca gregaria, 76 nucleotides long. NCBI's taxonomy places the organism in Eukaryota, Metazoa, Arthropoda, Insecta, Orthoptera, Acrididae. The record is from the annotation of a RefSeq genome assembly.
GCCUCCUUAGCUCAGGGGCAGAGCACUGGUCUUGUAAACCAGGGGUCGUGAGUUCGAUUCUCACAGGGGGGAAGCA